Molecule: ribosomal RNA, 468 nt
Filed under: uncultured bacterium
Lineage: Bacteria
Description: partial 16S ribosomal RNA
Rfam family: Bacterial small subunit ribosomal RNA
Source: RNAcentral
GACGAACGCUGGCGGCGUGCUUAACACAUGCAAGUCGAACGGAAAGACCCUGCUUUUGUGGGGUUCUCGAGUGGCGAACGGGUGAGUAACACGUGAGUAACCUGCCCUUGACUUUGGGAUAACUUCAGGAAACUGGGGCUACUACCGGAUAGGAGCUCCUGCUGCAUGGUGGGGGUUGGAAAGUUUCGGCGGUUGGGGAUGGACUCGCGGCUUAUCAGCUUGUUGGUGGGGUAGUGGCUUACCAAGGCUUUGACGGGUAGCCGGCCUGAGAGGGUGACCGGCCACAUUGGGACUGAGAUACGGCCCAGACUCCUACGGGAGGCAGCAGUGGGGAAUAUUGCACAAUGGGCGGAAGCCUGAUGCAGCAACGCCGCGUGCGGGAUGACGGCCUUCGGGUUGUAAACCGCUUUCGCCUGUGACGAAGCGUGAGUGACGGUAAUGGGUAAAGAAGCACCGGCUAACUACGUG